Non-coding RNA from Schistosoma rodhaini, 46 nucleotides. Lineage: Eukaryota; Metazoa; Platyhelminthes; Trematoda; Strigeidida; Schistosomatidae. The record is from Rfam.
GCACUGCUGAAGAGUCCCAUAAUCGGACGAAACAGCCGUCCAGUGC